AGUGGAUACAAGUUUAAAAUUAAAAAUGCACAAUCCUAUUUGGGAUUUUUGGGGGGGGUUUUGUUUUUUAUAAAUCAUUGAAAACUCUCUCUCCUCUCACGGCCCGCAGCUCACAGCAGCUUCACGGCCCAAAAGGGUGUCCCCCGCCCACACCUUGGGAACCCCUGUUUCCUGCACUAUUGUAUGUUAUUACUGAGCAGUCUUCCCUAAAUAUGUUCCUUUCUUUUAUCCUAUCCCAUCUCGUGUUUCUUGGCAUUUCUGUCCAAUAGCUUUGAAAAUAUUUGUGAGUAACCCAUUAAUCAGCAUUAAUCGCUCCAGCACCACAUGAAAGCUGCACCUGCACAUGCGCCAUGUGUGCAUACCAAUAAAACCUGGCAACAAGUACAAGAUUUGGUCACCUCCAACUUCCACACAUCUGUCUGGAGCAAAGCACAGCCCGACAAAAUGCUGCUCCCAUUCUGGCUGUACAGGCAGCACAGGUGUGUUGUUAUUCCACAGGUGUUACGGUCUUACUGUGGGCGUGGAGACUUGGGAGCAGAAAGCAAGCGUUGGGAAACCGUCCCUGAGGAGCGGACCAAGGUGCUUCAGCUCCAAUGAUUGUAAAUAGAACUAAAAAUGGAAAUAGAAGCUAAAGAGGGGAUGUAAGAAGCGGAAACCGACAGCGCAUGACCUCCAGAUGUAACAACGGCUUAUCCGGGAGGUCUGACCGGGUACACACCUCUUUUCGCCGGAUCUUCUUGGCGAGCUGCGUCGCCGACAUAAGCAGCAGCGGGUUUCUGACGGGCGGGAGCUUCUUCCCUGACAGAGCAGAUCUCCGAGGGCAGAAGAAGCGAAAAAGGACGAAGAGGACCUCCGUGACCGCCUUCAA
Molecule: long non-coding RNA, 868 nt
Organism: Oreochromis niloticus (Nile tilapia)
Lineage: Eukaryota; Metazoa; Chordata; Actinopteri; Cichliformes; Cichlidae
Exons: 2
Source: RefSeq, a predicted model, not a curated record